Long non-coding RNA from Cyclopterus lumpus (lumpfish), 427 nucleotides. RefSeq lists it as uncharacterized. The record is from RefSeq and is a predicted model, not a curated record. Lineage: Eukaryota; Metazoa; Chordata; Actinopteri; Perciformes; Cyclopteridae. The transcript has 3 exons.
GUCCCGGCCGGGCACGCAUCGCUGCAUGUUGUAGAGUUUGAAGUCUAACUAACUAAUCUGCAGCAAUAAAAAUGGAAAAAAGGGAUGGCUCCUGCAGCAUAACCUGACUGACACCUCAGCUCCAUUGAUAUUUUCCUGCAAGCAAAACCCCGCGAGAAAAAUACGGCUGGUUUGUUGCGCUACUGUAUCGCUGUGGCUACAAACAACAAGCAUCCAUGUCUUGGCUUGAGGGUCGUCGGGAGUCUAAGCCUGCAGUCCACCAGGCGGUGCGACGGCGUUUCUCUGGGCCGCUGAUGCUGCCUCCUCUAUGGAGGAGACACUCUUCUCAGGAGCGCCCAUAUGACAACCGGCGGCUGUCUGCAACACUCGUCCUGCCUCUGGACCGACUGGAAGUGCUGUACAGCCGAGCACUGGCCAGUCAUGGUGA